UACGGAGGGUGCAAGCGUUACUCGGAAUUACUGGGCGUAAAGCGUGCGUAGGUGGUUCGUUAAGUCUGAUGUGAAAGCCCUGGGCUCAACCUGGGAAUGGCAUUGGAAACUGGCGACCUAGAGUGCGGUAGAGGGUAGUGGAAUUCCCGGUGUAGCAGUGAAAUGCGUAGAGAUCGGGAGGAACAUCCGUGGCGAAGGCGGCAUCCUGGACCGGUAUUGACGCUGAGGCGCGAAAGCCAGGGGAGCAAACGGG
RNAcentral lists this ribosomal RNA (253 nucleotides) under uncultured bacterium. Its description in RNAcentral is "partial 16S ribosomal RNA". It matches the Rfam family "Bacterial small subunit ribosomal RNA", at positions 524 to 776 of the family's 1533-position model. The record is from RNAcentral.